AAAUAUGAAUAGGGGAGCUACGAGGUUGGCUGAGAGGAUAUCCCGUUGAAGAUAUCGACCCUUUAAACCUGAUCUGGAUAAUGCCAGCGGAGGGAUGUUUAUUAGAAUUGCAU
Molecule: non-coding RNA, 113 nt
Filed under: Halalkalibacter wakoensis
Lineage: Bacteria; Bacillati; Bacillota; Bacilli; Caryophanales; Bacillaceae
Also listed under: 1 other name
Description: Bacillus wakoensis TPP sequence
Rfam family: TPP riboswitch aptamer (THI element)
About the family: Vitamin B(1) in its active form thiamin pyrophosphate (TPP) is an essential coenzyme that is synthesised by coupling of pyrimidine and thiazole moieties in bacteria. The previously detected thiamin-regulatory element, thi box was extended, resulting in a new, highly conserved RNA secondary structure, the THI element, which is widely distributed in eubacteria and also occurs in some archaea.
Source: RNAcentral